GGUUGAAGUCUUAGGGAAAUCAUGAGUUGUGAAAACAGCCAAAUGUGGAAGAAUUGAAAAUGCCACACAUGGUCAGGAUAGAUGUUCAGAUACAACUUGACAAACUUUUAAGCUUUCACCUCAGCGCAGAAUCAGUGUACAAAAACUGAGAGAAGUAGAUGUUUUUCAAAUGCCCAAUUUUCAGUAAAAUUCAUGAGACAUACAAAGAAACAGGAAAGCAUGACUUGCUCAAAGAAAGAAGCCAUCCCUGAAGCAGCACAGACACUGGACUUACUAAACAAAGACUUUAAAACAACUGUUUUAAAUAUGUUCCAAGAGCUAAAGGAAAGCACGAAGAAUUAAUGGAAAUCUGGAAAAAUGAUGUAUGAACAAAAUGAUAAUAUCAGUGUUUAUUCUCUUACUCACAUGGGAUUUUGUUAUUACUUGACCCAUAUCUUUCCCACUGAGCAAAUAUAGGGACAAAAUUAAAUCUGGGUAACGGUGAUAUUCCCAGCUGUAUUCAUUGUAUCUUCUAUAUUCUAAUCUCUGUGUUAGGAUCUGUAUAUAUGUUCUGUACUUUGUUCACUUGAUCCACCCAACUAUUCUCUCAGGAUAAUUAUUACAUGGUCUUAUUAUAGAUAAUGGCCAGAUGAUUCCCUAUGCCACUGGUUACCUGAGGUCACUUUUCAGCUGCAGAGAAAUUUCUGGAUGUUUUUCCCACCGUUUCUCCCUCAACUGGUACCUGAUGUCUCACCCAGGUGUGCAGGAUCUUUCGGUGCUGUCCACCCCGAAUAUGCUCCUGUGCACCCUCAACUUUGGAAACGGAAACAGGCUAGUCUGCCUAGAAAUCUCCAGAGCAUUCUAGGCUAAUACAUUAAAAUUAAAGAGAAACAGAAGCCAUCACUACAAAUUGCAACAUUAUUGUUCAAGCCAAGAUCGUCCUAAUUAUAAACUAGCAUUUUUAUAGAUGUCACAGGGGCUGUUUUAGUGCUGCUUUGCUGAUGCUAAAAAGAUAGUGUGGAAAUGUGAUCAGGGAUCCUCACAUGACUGUCUAACUGGAGGAAAAAAAGUUAAUUAGACUCUUUUUGGCAUAUUAGUGAAGACAGGCUUAUUAGACACAUUUACAAGCUAAUGAUAUGCCUAUACUCUGCUAUCAAAAAAUGCAUUUAAAUAAACUGAUUUACAGUUCAGCCA
Molecule: long non-coding RNA, 1173 nt
Filed under: Oryctolagus cuniculus (rabbit)
Lineage: Eukaryota; Metazoa; Chordata; Mammalia; Lagomorpha; Leporidae
Description: lncRNA (ENSOCUG00000037905.1)
Source: RNAcentral